CUGGGCUUGACAUGUUCCUGACAGCCGUGGAAACACGGUCUCCCUUCGGGGCAGGAUCACAGGUGGUGCAUGGCUGUCGUCAGCUCGUGUCGUGAGAUGUUGGGUUAAGUCCCGCAACGAGCGCAACCCCCGUCGCAUGUUGCCAGCAUUUAGUUGGGGACUCAUGCGAGACUGCCGGUGACAAACCGGAGGAAGGUGGGGAUGACGUCAAGUCAUCAUGCCCCUUAUGUCCAGGGCUACACACGUGCUACAUUGGCGCGUACAGAGGGUUGCGAUACCGCGAGGUGGAGCGGAUCCCUUAAAGCGCGUCUCGGUUCGGAUUGCAGGCUGAAACUCGCCUGCAUGAAGGCGGAGUUGCUAGUAAUCGCGGAUCAGCAUUGCCGCGGUGAAUACGUUCCC
RNAcentral lists this ribosomal RNA (399 nucleotides) under uncultured soil bacterium. Its description in RNAcentral is "bacterial SSU rRNA". It matches the Rfam family "Bacterial small subunit ribosomal RNA", at positions 975 to 1375 of the family's 1533-position model. The record is from RNAcentral.